RNAcentral lists this long non-coding RNA (245 nucleotides) under Lathyrus oleraceus (garden pea). Its description in RNAcentral is "Pisum sativum (pea) long non-coding RNA (PSAT_LNC027251)". Lineage: Eukaryota; Viridiplantae; Streptophyta; Magnoliopsida; Fabales; Fabaceae. The record is from RNAcentral.
ACUAAAGAUCUACUAUAUUUGGUGACUCGUCAGACUCAUGCAUUAUACUAAAAAGCAAAAUAAACAACUAAAAGGAAAUAAAAAGAAAUAAACUAUCUAAAAACAGCAAAGAAAAAGCGAUAAAGGUAGAUCUACUAUAUUUGGUGACUCGUCAGACUCAUGCAUUAUACUAAAAAGCAAAAUAAACAACUAAAAGGAAAUAAAAAGAAAUAAACUAUCUAAAAACAGCAAAGAAAAAGCGAUAA